RNAcentral lists this ribosomal RNA (484 nucleotides) under uncultured bacterium. Its description in RNAcentral is "partial 16S ribosomal RNA". It matches the Rfam family "Bacterial small subunit ribosomal RNA", at positions 28 to 523 of the family's 1533-position model. The record is from RNAcentral.
GAUGAACGCUGGCGGCGUGCUUAACACAUGCAAGUCGAACGGUGAAGCAGGAGCUUGCUCUUGUGGAUCAGUGGCGAACGGGUGAGUAACACGUGAGCAACCUGCCCCUGACUCUGGGAUAAGCGCUGGAAACGGCGUCUAAUACUGGAUAUGUGAUGCGACCGCAUGGUCUGCAUCUGGAAAGAAUUUCGGUUGGGGAUGGGCUCGCGGCCUAUCAGCCUGUUGGUGAGGUAAUGGCUCACCAAGGCGUCGACGGGUAGCCGGCCUGAGAGGGGGACCGGCCACACUGGGACUGAGACACGGCCCAGACUCCUACGGGAGGCAGCAGUGGGGAAUAUUGCACAAUGGGCGGAAGCCGGAUGCAGCAACGCCGCGUGAGGGAUGACGGCCUUCGGGUUGUAAACCUCUUUUAGCAGGGAAGAAGCGAAAGUGACGGUACCUGCAGAAAAAGCACCGGCUAACUACGUGCCAGCAGCCGCCGCAG